Molecule: long non-coding RNA, 748 nt
Filed under: Numida meleagris (helmeted guineafowl)
Lineage: Eukaryota; Metazoa; Chordata; Aves; Galliformes; Numididae
Description: lncRNA (ENSNMEG00000020017.1)
Source: RNAcentral
GAAGACUCUGAGUACAGAAAGCCCAUUUAUAAGAGAAAUAAAGUUUGCCCACAGAUAACAUAACCAAAGUUCUUCAGGAUGAACUCUGCUCAUUCACAGCCACUACGAGGAGUUCCCUUUUGCUUUGAGUUUCAGUUUCAGUUCUGCUGUUGAGGAACCUGUUUGAGCAAUGAGCAAGCACCUCCUUGGGCUCCCUGGGAGGCACUGCUAGAAAGAUGCUCUGCUGCUGCAGGCAGUGCUUCUGUAGCAUCACUCGUGACAAUGUGCUACUGUUGCCUUGAAGGGAUGCCAGCUUCAGUGUCAAAAAGAUAAGGAUUUUAUUCCUGAGGAACUUUCAAUGAGAGCACACUGCAGUCCUCCACAGAUCUGUCUGUACUUGACUUUCUGGAGCCUCAUGGAAAAGAUUUACAGAACAAAUGCUUUACUACCUGUUUGAAAAUGUCUCUGGGACAGAUCUUUGGUAUAACUCCAGAACCAGUAUUUCCUGAAGCUAAUGCACUACUCAUCUAACACCACUGAGUGGCAGAUAGCAAUGAACAACUCUGUAUGCAACAUUGUAUUUGACCAAGGAGAAACUGAUGAAUCUUCACUGUGUUCAACAAGCUAUGAAAUUUCUAGUCCAGUGCCAGUGAAACUGGGACACUGCAGCAUCAUAAACUAUCACUAUGUUGAUAACACACAGGCUAUUAACCUUCCAAAACAUUCACCUCGGAGGCUAAACUUCGCAGUACUUCAGCUUCGAUUCUGA